This 254-nucleotide ribosomal RNA is filed under the name uncultured bacterium. RNAcentral describes it as "partial 16S ribosomal RNA". It matches the Rfam family "Bacterial small subunit ribosomal RNA", at positions 524 to 776 of the family's 1533-position model. The record is from RNAcentral.
GACGAACCGUCCGAACGUUAUUCGGAAUCACUGGGCUUAAAGGGCGCGUAGGCGGGAUCGUAAGUCAGGGGUGAAAUCCCACGGCUCAACCGUGGAAGUGCCUUUGAUACUGCGGACCUCGAGGUGGGCAGGGGCGUGCGGAACUUCCGGUGGAGCGGUGAAAUGCGUAGAUAUCGGAAGGAACACCGGUGGCGAAAGCGGCACGCUGGGCCCGGUACUGACGCUGAGGAGCGAAAGCAUGGGGAGCGAACAGG